AUACGGAGGGUGCAAGCGUUGUUCGGAAUUACUGGGCGUAAAGCGCGCGUAGGCGGCUAUUUAAGUCAGAUGUGAAAGUCCACGGCUCAACCUGGGAAGUGCAUUGGAAACUGGACAACUUGAGUACGGGAGAGGGUAGUGGAAUUCCGAGUGUAGGGGUGAAAUCCGUAGAUAUUCGGAGGAACACCGGUGGCGAAGGCGGCUACCUGGACCGAUACUGACGCUGAGACGCGAAAGCGUGGGGAGC
RNAcentral lists this ribosomal RNA (247 nucleotides) under uncultured bacterium. RNAcentral describes it as "partial 16S ribosomal RNA". It matches the Rfam family "Bacterial small subunit ribosomal RNA", at positions 523 to 769 of the family's 1533-position model. The record is from RNAcentral.